UAAGGGUUAGUUUAAUAAUUAGAAUUGUUGACUGUUGAUCAACGGGUUUUAUCUCUUAG
RNAcentral lists this transfer RNA (59 nucleotides) under Baylisascaris ailuri (red panda roundworm). RNAcentral's name for it is "tRNA-Asn". Lineage: Eukaryota; Metazoa; Nematoda; Chromadorea; Rhabditida; Ascarididae. The record is from RNAcentral.